RNAcentral lists this ribosomal RNA (433 nucleotides) under uncultured bacterium. RNAcentral's name for it is "partial 16S ribosomal RNA". It matches the Rfam family "Bacterial small subunit ribosomal RNA", at positions 29 to 507 of the family's 1533-position model. The record is from RNAcentral.
AACGAACGCUGGCGGCAGGCCUAACACAUGCAAGUCGAGCGAGGACUUCGGUCCUAGCGGCGGACGGGUGAGUAACGCGUGGGAACGUGCCCUUUGCUUCGGAAUAGCCCUGGGAAACUGGGAGUAAUACCGGAUGAGCCCUUUGGGGGAAAGAUUUAUCGUCGAAGGAUAGGCCCGCGUUGGAUUAGGUAGUUGGGGGGGUAAUGGCCUACCAAGCCUACGAUCCAUAGCUGGUUUGAGAGGAUGCUCAGCCACACUGAGACUGGGACACGGCCCAGACUCCUACGGGAGGUAGCAGUGGGGAAUCUUAGACAAUGGGGGAAACCCUGAUCUAGCCAUGCCGCGUAAGCGAUGAAGGCCUUAGGGUUGUAAAGCUCUUUCAGCUGGGAAGAUAAUGACGGUACCAGCAGAAGAAGCCCCGGCUAACUCCGUG